CGGAGUGAACGCACCACUGGUGUUCGGGUUGUCAUGCCAAUGGCACUGCCCGGUAGCUAAGUGCGGAAAAGAUAAGUGCUGAAAGCAUCUAAGCACGAAACUUGCCCCGAGAUGAGUUCUCCCUGACUCCCAGAGAGUCCUGAAGGGACGUUGAAGACGACGACGUUGAUAGGCCGGGUGUGUAAGCGCAGCGAUGCGUUGAGCUAACCGGUACUAAUGACCCGUGAGGCUUAACCUUACAACGCCAGAGGCGUUU
RNAcentral lists this ribosomal RNA (256 nucleotides) under Candidatus Pantoea gossypiicola. Its description in RNAcentral is "Pantoea sp. B_8 partial 23S ribosomal RNA". It matches the Rfam family "Bacterial large subunit ribosomal RNA", at positions 2693 to 2925 of the family's 2925-position model. Lineage: Bacteria; Pseudomonadati; Pseudomonadota; Gammaproteobacteria; Enterobacterales; Erwiniaceae. The record is from RNAcentral.